CGCACAUUGCGCCUAUUGGUAUUCCAAUAGGCAUGCCUGUUCGAGCGUCAUUAAACCUUCAAGCUUUGCUUGGUGUUGGGUGUUGUCCGCUGUUUCUUUCUGCGGACUCGCCUUGAAUGAAUUGGCAGCCAGCAUUUGGUGUGUUGGAGCGCAGCACAUUAUGCGUUCUCGGCCAUAAUAGCGGGCGUCCAGAAAGCUUAUUUUAACGUUUGACCUCGGAUCAGGUAGGGAUACCCGCUGAACUUAA
Molecule: unclassified non-coding RNA, 247 nt
Filed under: Pleosporales sp.
Lineage: Eukaryota; Fungi; Ascomycota; Dothideomycetes; Pleosporales
Description: partial contains 5.8S ribosomal RNA, internal transcribed spacer 2, and large subunit ribosomal RNA
Source: RNAcentral